This is a long non-coding RNA of Mirounga angustirostris (Northern elephant seal), 406 nucleotides long. RefSeq lists it as uncharacterized. NCBI's taxonomy places the organism in Eukaryota, Metazoa, Chordata, Mammalia, Carnivora, Phocidae. The transcript has 3 exons. The record is from RefSeq and is a predicted model, not a curated record.
UUAGCUCUGACUCCAUGAAGAAAAACAAGAAAAAAGAAAGAAAAAAAAAAGGAAAGCCUUUGAGCUUGUUGGUCAAGCAACUUGUAAUUUCUCCAGGCCAGAGGAGGAGAAAGAACAAUGCCUGAAGCUUUCUGAAGAGAAGCCAAGAUGGUGAUCUCCAGUUACCCUGAGGUCUUACUGAUCACCCUAAUAACCCCAGCAGCCCUGAAGGGCUUCUCCAGGUGACCAUUUGCAAGCAUCCUCUAAUCAGCAUCCUCUGUUGGGAAGAUUAAUUGGAUCGUAGCUCCCCUGCAAAUGGCAAAGUUUGGUGUAAAUAUCAGUUAAUACUAUUUUGAUCAUCCACUCCCUGGCUGCCUCCAAAGCCAGAGCCUUCAGUUCUGCUUGACAAAUGGAGAAAUCCUUCUUC